This is a long non-coding RNA of Oncorhynchus tshawytscha (Chinook salmon), 702 nucleotides long. RefSeq lists it as uncharacterized. The record is from RefSeq and is a predicted model, not a curated record. The transcript has 3 exons. NCBI's taxonomy places the organism in Eukaryota, Metazoa, Chordata, Actinopteri, Salmoniformes, Salmonidae.
GAAGAGCUUAACAAGGUCCAACAUGGAGACCUGUGUUGAAGAGCUUAACAAGGUCCAACAUGGAGACCUGUGUUGAAGAGCUCAACAAGGUCCAACAUGGAGACCUGUGUUGAAGAGCUCAACAAGGUCCAACAUGGAGACCUGUGUUGAAGAGCUCAACAAGGUCCAACAUGGAGACCUGUGUUGAAGAGCUCAACAAGGUCCAACAUGGAGACCUGUGUUGAAGAGCUCAACAAGGUCCAACAUGGAGACCUGUGUUGAAGAGCUCAACAAGGUCCAACAUGGAGACCUGUGUUGAAGAGCUCAACAAGGUCCAACAUGGAGACCUGUGUUGAAGAGCUCAACAAGGUCCAACAUGGAGACCUGUGUUGAAGAGCUCAACAAGGUCCAACAUGGAGACCUGUGUUGAAGAGCUCAACAAGGUCCAACAUGGAGACCUGUGUUGAAGAGCUCAACAAGGUCCAACAUGGAGACCUGUGUUGAAGAGCUCAACAAGGUCCAACAUGGAGACCUGUGUUGAAGAGCUCAACAAGGUCCAACAUGGAGACCUGGGUUGAAGAGCUCAACAAGGUCCAACAUGGAGACCUGUGUUGAAGAGCUCAACAAGGUCCAACAUGGAGACCUGGGUUGAAGAGCUCAACAAGGUCCAACAUGGAGACCUGUGUUGAAGAGCUCAACAAGGUCCAACAUGGAGACCUGGGU